UUCCGGUUGAUCCUGCCGGAGGCCACUGCUAUGGGGGUCCGACUAAGCCAUGCGAGUCAUGGGGCGCCUUGCGCGCACCGGCGGACGGCUCAGUAACACGUCGGUAACCUACCCUCGGGAGGGGGAUAACCCCGGGAAACUGGGGCUAAUCCCCCAUAGGCCUGAGGUACUGGAAGGUCCUCAGGCCGAAAGGGGCUCUGCCCGCCCGAGGAUGGGCCGGCGGCCGAUUAGGUAGUUGGUGGGGUAACGGCCCACCAAGCCGAAGAUCGGUACGGGCCAUGAGAGUGGGAGCCCGGAGAUGGACACUGAGACACGGGUCCAGGCCCUACGGGGCGCAGCAGGCGCGAAACCUCCGCAAUGCGGGCAACCGCGACGGGGGGACCCCCAGUGCCGUGGCAUCGCCACGGCUUUUCCGGAGUGUAAAGAGCUCCGGGAAUAAGGGCUGGGCAAGGCCGGUGGCAGCCGCCGCGGUAAUACCGGCGGCCCGAGUGGUGGCCGCUAUUAUUGGGCCUAAAGCGUCCGUAGCCGGGCCCGUAAGUCCCUGGCGAAAUCCCACGGCUCAACCGUGGGGCUUGCUGGGGAUACUGCGGGCCUUGGGACCGGGAGAGGCGGAGGGUACUCCUGGGGUAGGGGUGAAAUCCUAUAAUCCCAGGAGGACCGCCAGUGGCGAAGGCGCUCCGCUGGAACGGGUCCGACGGUGAGGGACGAAGGCCAGGGGAGCGAACCGGAUUAGAUACCCGGGUAGUCCUGGCUGUAAAGGAUGCGGGCUAGGUGUCGGGCGAGCUUCGUGCUCGCCCGGUGCCGAAGGGAAGCCGUUAAGCCCGCCGCCUGGGGAGUACGGCCGCAAGGCUGAAACUUAAAGGAAUUGGCGGGGGAGCACUACAAGGGGUGGAGCGUGCGGUUUAAUUGGAUUCAACGCCGGG
Molecule: ribosomal RNA, 923 nt
Filed under: uncultured archaeon
Lineage: Archaea
Description: bacterial SSU rRNA
Rfam family: Archaeal small subunit ribosomal RNA
Source: RNAcentral